This 440-nucleotide ribosomal RNA is filed under the name uncultured bacterium. RNAcentral describes it as "partial 16S ribosomal RNA". It matches the Rfam family "Bacterial small subunit ribosomal RNA", at positions 338 to 795 of the family's 1533-position model. The record is from RNAcentral.
CCUACGGGGGGCAGCAGUGGGGAAUAUUGCACAAUGGGGGGAACCCUGAUGCAGCGACGCCGCGUGAGUGAAGAAGUAUUUCGGUAUGUAAAGCUCUAUCAGCAGGGAAGAAAAUGACGGUACCUGACCAAGAAGCCCCGGCUAACUACGUGCCAGCAGCCGCGGUAAUACGUAGGGGGCAAGCGUUAUCCGGAUUUACUGGGUGUAAAGGGAGCGCAGACGGUAAUGCAAGUCUGAAGUGAAAGCCCGGGGCCCAACCCCGGGACUGCUUUGGAAACUGUACGGCUAGAGUACUGGAGGGGCAGGCGGAAUUCCUAGUGUAGCGGUGAAAUGCGUAGAUAUUAGGAGGAACACCAGUGGCGAAGGCGGCUUGCUGGACAGUAACUGACGUUGAGGCUCGAAAGCGUGGGGAGCAAACAGGAUUAGAUACCCGGGUAGUC